CACACACACACAGGUUGGAAAGAUGGCUACGGGGUUAAGAACACCUGCUAUUCCAGAGGACCAGAGUUAAGUUCCCAGCACCCCAUCAUCAGGCAGCCAGCUACCAAAGGCGUGUAACUCUGGGUCUAGGGUACACAACGCCCUCUUCUGGAGUCCGUGGGUAUUUACGCUCACGUGCUCAAACAGACACAAACACAUCAUUUAAAGAAUUUUCCAAAACAAUCAUUUUUUUUUCCUAAAACUUGCAAAGGAUGCUAGUAGGUCCACGCAGCCUUAGCCAGCCGACCUGUAUAUGCCUUGACUCCGGGAGCCGGGCUCCGCAGGCCUCCAGCCUCGGGAGGAUGAAGCAGGACGGGGCCAGCUAAAGAGAGAGGUGAGCGGAGCUGGGGUGGCUGGGGGAGCCUGCUCACCGGUCGGACCAGCACGCCCGCGGGCCCCGGGUUCAGGGUCCCCGGUCCCGGCCCCCGCGAUCCCGACCCCGUCUCCUACUCACCGCCCGGCAGACCGGCGGCUCGAGCACGCGGACGGCCGCGGCCUGGCCCUGUUCACUCGCGGCGGCGCGCGGCGGGCCCCGGGCUGCCCCGCACCAUCCUCUCCGCCGCUCCGGGGACAGCGAGCCGCUCCUCCUCGGGGCCGAAGCGACGACCCGAAGCCAGACCAGAGCGCGCCGACGGGACGCCGGCUCCGCGCGCUGCGAACGCCCGGCCUUUCCGGGUGAAGGCAGAAAACCACGUCACCACAAACGCCGCCGUGACCUCUGACCCCCGCCCGCCGGCGACGGCGGCGCGGCAGGGACAGAAUUGCUCCCGGGCGAGCGGCGGGGGCGGGGGAGAGAGGUAGGCUGACUUCGUUUUGCAAAAGACGGAGCUGCCUGAAGUCUAUCACUCGCAUUCGCGGACUGCGGUGAGCUUGCUCGGUUCCGUCCCGAAGUGCUUCUGCAGGUCUUGGUGUGUAUGACGUGAGAUAGUAAAGAGGACACGAUUUUUCGUUUAUUUUUGUUGGGAGUUUUGUUUUGUUUUGACACAGGGGUCGCGCGGAUGGCAAGAGCAGGCUUCCUGUUCUCUAUGGAGCCCAUUGAGGAGCCAACUACCUUAGUCAUGGUGUCUGAGCACACUAAUAUCACUCUCCUCUCUGUAGACGGGACUCUAGGAUCCACUGUCGUGUCUCUGGACAACAGGACAUUUCAUUUCAAGCCAUGUCUCAGUCCCCUAAGACCUAGUUGACCUUAGAAGAAGCAAUAUAUUAUCCCUUUUUAAUCCCUCUAAGCACAUUAAUAUUGGCCUUCAUACAUGAUUAUUGAAAACCCAGGAGAUCAAUUACACUUAUCCAUUUGUCUGGUCUUGACGUUUUGUUUUGUUUUUUAAAGACAAGGUUGCUGGGCAGUGGGAAGGCUAUCCUUUGAUCCCAGAAUACAAAGAGUCAGAGGCAGGCAGAUCUCUGCAUUUGAGGCCAGCCUGGUCUGCCGAAUGAGUUCCAGGAAGCUGGGGCUACGCAAAGCCUGUCUUGAAAAAAAAACAAACCAACCAACAAACAAAAAAAGAUAAGGUCUUUCAGUCCAUCCCUGGCUGGCUUAAAACUCACUAUGUGACCCAAGCUGGUCUCAAACUCAGAGAACCAUAAGGGCUGGGAUUAAAGGUGUGCCGUGAGACAUGUGAGAAUUUUCUCCUUGGGUAAAGACUAUGCGAUGUUUAUCCCCUUUUCCUAAGGUCUCAGUGACUCACCAAAGUUCCCCCUGGAGAGCCAGUACAUUUAUCUGGCUUACUUACAGAGCAUAGGUGAGAGGUUACUAUCAGAAGUGUGGGUGACCUCAAAGUAACUACACGGGAAAGUCCUCACCCAGAAUGGACGAUGGCUUCCCCAUAGAUGUGUAAGUGGAACCCUGAUCCUUGUCUCCCCCCAGAACCUCAAGGCCAAAUAGUUGCCAGGGAAAUCAUAUAGAAGACAUCUGCAUGUGUAUGCCUGUGUGUGCACAGCAUGUGUGCGCUCUCGUUCCAGACGAUGAGCUACCACUGCUAUGCUUUUGGUUUUGAAUAAGUGCAAGGAGCAGGUAGAAAGGCAGAAAGACACAGUAAAAUGUGAUCAAAUCGAUGUUUAUAACAUCAAGCUUAGCUCAGGUAAGGAAGGUCUUAAAGCUAAGAGACUGGAAAAGCUACUGAGAGGUUUUUUUAGGCAGAGGGUCUUCUGUACUCUUUAUAAGGGCUGACUGACAAGUUAUUGUUAUUUUUAUUUAGUGCCUAUAAUCUGGCAAAUAUUGAAGUGGACUGAAUGAAAAUGAACCCCAUAGGCCCAUAUGCUUGAAUGCUUGGUCCCUAGUUAGAGGAACUGUUUGGGAAGGAUUAGGAGGUGUGGCCUUGUUGAAGGAGGUGUGUCACUGGGGGUGAUUUUGUGGUUUCAAAAGUCCAUGCCAGGCCCACUAUCAUCUCUCCCUACUUGCUGCCUAUAGAGCAGGGGGUAAAGCUCUCAGCUACUGCUCCAGCACCCUGCCUGUCAGCUUCCCUCCACGGUGAUCAUGAACUGACCCUCUGAAACUGUAAGCAACCCCCCCAAUUAAAGACUUUCUUUUAUAAGAGA
RNAcentral lists this long non-coding RNA (2571 nucleotides) under Mus pahari (shrew mouse). Its description in RNAcentral is "predicted gene 6598 (MGP_PahariEiJ_G0003200.1)". The record is from RNAcentral. Lineage: Eukaryota; Metazoa; Chordata; Mammalia; Rodentia; Muridae.